GACCCGGUGGCGGAUGGUCCGCAUCUGCUCAGUUUUCCAAUUCACCAAGUAAAGAAAAUUCGGCAGAAGAUGCCCGUUCGAUUCGGGCCCGGGUCA
Non-coding RNA from Mycena latifolia, 96 nucleotides. NCBI's taxonomy places the organism in Eukaryota, Fungi, Basidiomycota, Agaricomycetes, Agaricales, Mycenaceae. The record is from the annotation of a GenBank genome assembly.